GACGAACGCUGGCGGCGUGCUUAACACAUGCAAGUCGAACGAAGUGGCGAACGGGUGAGUAAUACGUGGGUAACCUGCCCUCCUUUUUGGGAUAAGCCUUGGACACGGGGUCUAAUACCGAAUAUGGGGGGAUGGGCUCGCGGCCUAUGAGCUUGUUGGUGGGGUGCUGGCCUCGCAAGGCGGUGACGGGUCGUCGGGCUGCGAGGGUGAGCGGCCACAUUGGGACGGAGAUACGGGCCAGGCGCCUACGGGAGGGAGCAGUGGGGGAUAUUGCACAAUGGGCGAAAGCCUGAGGCAGCUGCGCCGCGUGGGGGAUGAAGGCUUUCGGGUUGUAAACCUCUGUCGCUAGCGAACGGGUAGGUGGAGAAGAAGCGCCGGCUAACUACGUGCCAGCAGCCGCGGUAAUAC
Molecule: ribosomal RNA, 408 nt
Filed under: uncultured bacterium
Lineage: Bacteria
Description: partial 16S ribosomal RNA
Rfam family: Bacterial small subunit ribosomal RNA
Source: RNAcentral